This 294-nucleotide long non-coding RNA is filed under the name Elaeis guineensis (African oil palm). Its description in RNAcentral is "long non-coding RNA (EGUI_LNC055857)". Lineage: Eukaryota; Viridiplantae; Streptophyta; Magnoliopsida; Arecales; Arecaceae. The record is from RNAcentral.
UGUGUUGGCUAUUCGCAAUAAGGCUACUUAGUUUGACUACACGUUCCCUUGGUCCCUAGCCAUUCAGGUCCUUGCUGUGUAUGUUGGCUAUUAUAGAUUCAGGUUUGCUAUUUGAAGUAGGAUGCAUUUUGAUAGAAUCUAUUGUCUUUGGUAGAAAAAGAGAAGUCCUAUGCGAUUCAUAAGAUUGAGUUCAAAAAGCCUCUGGUCAGAGUAAGUGUGAAUACUAGAAAAAUUUUUUACGAGAUUCAUAGAUGAACUCGAGUCGAACCAAUCUAGCAUAUGACUGAUGAUGGA